AGCAAUUUAGGAGUCAUUUUCAUCAAAAAAUAGAAUCCAGCAAAUUCCCUAACCUGACCCAAUGGAUUUUUGCAACUGGGAAGUCCGGCAGCAGUUCUGACAACAAAGAUGGGCAGAUUGGCCAUUGGAGAAGAAGGGCUAGGGAGGGUCAGAUGGUCGGAAAAUCUGAAAUUCCGGCGGGUUGAUAUUUGGGUAGAAAACCAACCUGAUCAGAUCUAGAGUUCCGACCAAUUUCUGGUGAGUGGAAGGGCAGCUCUAUACUCGCAAUAGGCCAGCGAGUGGUGUGGGGCUGUUUUGAUUGCUGGAUGGUGGCUGGUGAAGGAUAAGGCUGAACAGUAUUGCUUGGUUUACUGAUCGGUAUUGCUUGGUUUCUUUCGGAGACUUUGUUUCUAGUUUGGUAUUUUUAUUUUUUUAAAAUAGUAACUAAGGAAUUUCGAGUUGAAGAAGAUAACAGUAGAAGAUUUGAAUGUUUGCGGAAGCUUUAGAGUGAAGUUGGCCUUUGAUAUCAAAAUUGAUGUAGAACA
RNAcentral lists this unclassified non-coding RNA (524 nucleotides) under Hevea brasiliensis (rubber tree). Lineage: Eukaryota; Viridiplantae; Streptophyta; Magnoliopsida; Malpighiales; Euphorbiaceae. The record is from RNAcentral.